UCAGGAUGAACGCUGGCGGCGUAGCCUAAUACAUGCAAGUCGAACGGGUGGAUGGGAGCUUGCUCCUUGAUACCUAGUGGCGAACGGGUGAGUAACACGUAGGUAACCUGCCCUUAAGCUUGGGAUACCCAGAGGAAACUUUGGCUAAUACCGGAUAACAACAGAAGAGGCAUCUCUUUUGUUUGAAAGGCCCUUCACGGGGUCACUUAAGGAUGGACCUGCGGCGCAUUAGCUAGUUGGUGAGAUAACAGCCCACCAAGGCGAGGAUGCGUAGCCGACCUGAGAGGGUGAUCGGCCACAUUGGAACUGAGACACGGUCCAAACUCCUACGGGAGGCAGCAGUAAGGAGUUUUCGGCAAUGGGGAAACCCUGACCGAGCAACGCCGCGUGAGUGAUGACGGCCCUAUGGGUUGUAAAGCUCUGUUGUGAGGGACGAAUGACUAGUCGAGGAAAUGCGAUUAGUUUGACGGUACCUUACCAGAAAGCCACGGCUAACUACGUGCC
Molecule: ribosomal RNA, 504 nt
Filed under: uncultured bacterium
Lineage: Bacteria
Description: bacterial SSU rRNA
Rfam family: Bacterial small subunit ribosomal RNA
Source: RNAcentral